RNAcentral lists this ribosomal RNA (495 nucleotides) under uncultured bacterium. RNAcentral's name for it is "partial 16S ribosomal RNA". It matches the Rfam family "Bacterial small subunit ribosomal RNA", at positions 28 to 507 of the family's 1533-position model. The record is from RNAcentral.
GACGAACGCUGGCGGCGUGCCUAAUACAUGCAAGUAGAACGCUGAAGGAGGAGCUUGCUCUUCUGGAUGAGUUGCGAACGGGUGAGUAACGCGUAGGUAACCUGCCUGGUAGCGGGGGAUAACUAUUGGAAACGAUAGCUAAUACCGCAUAACAGUAGAUGUUGCAUGACAUUUACUUAAAAGGUGCAAUUGCAUCACUACCAGAUGGACCUGCGUUGUAUUAGCUAGUUGGUGGGGUAACGGCUCACCAAGGCGACGAUACAUAGCCGACCUGAGAGGGUGAUCGGCCACACUGGGACUGAGACACGGCCCAGACUCCUACGGGAGGCAGCAGUAGGGAAUCUUCGGCAAUGGACGGAAGUCUGACCGAGCAACGCCGCGUGAGUGAAGAAGGGUUUCGGAUCGUAAAGAUCUGUUGUAAGAGAAGAACGAGUGUGAGAGUGGAAAGUUCACACUGUGACGGUAUCUUACCAGAAAGGGACGGCUAACUACGUG